This is a long non-coding RNA of Mobula hypostoma (lesser devil ray), 1501 nucleotides long. RefSeq lists it as uncharacterized. Lineage: Eukaryota; Metazoa; Chordata; Chondrichthyes; Myliobatiformes; Myliobatidae. The transcript is spliced from 5 exons. The record is from RefSeq and is a predicted model, not a curated record.
CUGUAGCUUAGCGCAUGCUCAGUCCAUUUUGUGUUGACGUGGUCGUCUGCAGGGUCGGGCUCGGGAGAGUACCCUCGCCCCACUGGGGUGGGGAGCCGGGGGAGGAGAGGUCGCUGACAUCAGGUUCCCAUCGUGCCUUGAUAGUGUGAGCAGACAGUGAUGGAGAGGAACGUGAUGGAUGACUUCUCUCAGUAUAUUACCUCAUGUGUACCCUCCUGAUUCUGAUCCCAGCAAGUCAGCAUUAUGGUUGCAGAGAUACUGAUCGUACAUGUUCAAACUCUACCUGGGCUGAAAUUGGCAACAAGGACGUGAUGAAGCAAAUCUGCUCCUGAUUAUUGCGUUCAAGGACUGUCGUUCAGCAGGCCCAUGAACUUGCUCUUCUGAGACAAGUUGUUCAAGGUACUGCAGUGGGGGCCCUCAACUCACAGGUAGGAGGGUCUAUCCCCCACGGCUAGAAGUUUCUUCUAGAACAACACUGGGCUGUGCUAGAGACCCCAGCCUUGGAAUCACACGUUCGUCACCUUUUUUUAUUAUUCGCAUUUCUUGGCUCUAUUUGUUCAGGGAGUAGAUCGAUUAAGUUAUAUUCUACAAAUUUCAAUGAUAUACUAACAGAUAAAUACACAUGGCUAAGGACAAAGGAAAAUUCAUUUCUUGUAAUGUCAAUGGGCUGUUAAAUCCAAUCAUACGAAGUAAAAUUCUAUCAAAAAUGAAAAAAAGAGCAAGCCCAGGUAGUAUAUUCACAGGAAACUCGUUUAAGUGAUAAUGAGCAUGGAAAAGUAAAGAGAAUGGGCUUCACUAAUUUGUUUUUCUGCUCAUAUAAAUCAGGGCAUAGAAGAGGAGUUGCUAUUCUCAUCUCAAGCAAGCUAAAUCUUGAAAAAGCAUUCAAAAUGGGAGAUAAGGAGUGCAGAUAUAUUCUGAAAUGGAGGGAGUUCGGGUGGAAAAACUUGAUAAGAUAUUUUAUUACACCCUCUCAGAAAUCCCAUUAUGAUAGUAACCUCCCUGUUUGCUGGAGAAAUUGUGGAAAUCAAAAUGCAAACCAAUACCAUAUUUUUUGGGAAUGUCCCGUUAUCAAAUACUAGUGGAGUGGGAUGCAUAAUGCCUUACAAGACAUCUUUAAAUGUGAAAUAACCUUAGAGAGUAAGGCCAUAUAUUUUGGGUAUAUACCUCAAGAAUGAUUGAAAUGAGAUAAGUAUUUAAUGAAUGUACUGCUGGUGGCUGGUAAAAAGACCCUUACCAGAAAGUGGUUGUCACAGGAGAUCCCAGCUUUAAAUGUAUGGAUGGAAAUUACAAUGGACAUUUACAAAAUAGAGAAGAUAACAGCAUUUGAUUCAUACAGAGAAAAAUGGUUUAACUACAUAACACCUCAUAGGCCUGAUUUUAUUCUCGCAAGUCAAUGAAUAUGUUGUUAAAAAAAAGAUCACUCCCUAUUCUGUACAUAAUUUUCUUAUUUUGAUUAUUCUUUCUUUCCUGUCUAUAAGUGUAUACCUCAUAAAUAUUAUGU